UGCCUGGUAGUGGGGGAUAACGUCCGGAAACGGGCGCUAAUACCGCAUACGUCCUGAGGGAGAAAGUGGGGGAUCUUCGGACCUCACGCUAUCAGAUGAGCCUAGGUCGGAUUAGCUAGUUGGUGGGGUAAAGGCCUACCAAGGCGACGAUCCGUAACUGGUCUGAGAGGAUGAUCAGUCACACUGGAACUGAGACACGGUCCAGACUCCUACGGGAGGCAGCAGUGGGGAAUAUUGGACAAUGGGCGAAAGCCUGAUCCAGCCAUGCCGCGUGUGUGAAGAAGGUCUUCGGAUUGUAAAGCACUUUAAGUUGGGAGGAAGGGCAGUAAGUUAAUACCUUGCUGUUUUGACGUUACCAACAGAAUAAGCACCGGCUAACUUCGUGCCAGCAGCCGCGGUAAUACGAAGGGUGCAAGCGUUAAUCGGAAUUACUGGGCGUAAAGCGCGCGUAGGUGGUUCAGCAAGUUGGAUGUGAAAUCCCCGGGCUCAACCUGGGAACUGCAUCCAAAACUACUGAGCUAGAGUACGGUAGAGGGUGGUGGAAUUUCCUGUGUAGCGGUGAAAUGCGUAGAUAUAGGAAGGAACACCAGUGGCGAAGGCGACCACCUGGACUGAUACUGACACUGAGGUGCGAAAGCGUGGGGGAGCAAACAGGAUUAGAUACCCUGGUAGUCCACGCCGUAAACGAUGUCGACUAGCCGUUGGGAUCCUUGAGAUCUUAGUGGCGCAGCUAACGCGAUAAGUCGACC
RNAcentral lists this ribosomal RNA (749 nucleotides) under Pseudomonas aeruginosa. RNAcentral describes it as "bacterial SSU rRNA". It matches the Rfam family "Bacterial small subunit ribosomal RNA", at positions 127 to 870 of the family's 1533-position model. Lineage: Bacteria; Pseudomonadati; Pseudomonadota; Gammaproteobacteria; Pseudomonadales; Pseudomonadaceae. The record is from RNAcentral.